Molecule: ribosomal RNA, 492 nt
Filed under: uncultured bacterium
Lineage: Bacteria
Description: partial 16S ribosomal RNA
Rfam family: Bacterial small subunit ribosomal RNA
Source: RNAcentral
AGUGAACGCUGGCGGUAGGCCUAACACAUGCAAGUCGAACGGCAGCACAAUGAAGCUUGCUUCUUAGGUGUCGAGCGUCGCACGGGUGCGUAACGUAUAUGCAACUGUCCUUUUUCGGGGGGGAAAACCUUGGAAAGCUGGCGCAAAUCUCCCAAAGCACCUACGGGGGAAAGCAGGGGAUCUGAGGACCUUGCGCGAUAGAAUGAGCAGAUGUCGGAUUAGCUUGUUGGUGGGGUAAAGGCCCACCAAGGCAACGAUCCGUAGCUGGUCUGAGAGGAUGAGCAGCCACACUGGAACGGAGACACGGCCCAGACCCCAACGGGAGGCAGCAGUGGAGAAUAUUGUACAAGUGGCUCAAGCCUGAUCCAGCCAUGCCGCGUGGAUGAAGAAGGCCUUCGGGUUUUAAAGCUCUUUUGUUGGGAAAGAAAAGCAGCAAGUUAAUACCCUGCCGCUCUGACGGUACCCUAAGAAUAAGCACCGGCUAACUUCGUG